CGCACUUCCAGAUAUGCACAAUGAUGCUCUCUGCAAGAUCCGUGUCUGAUUCUUACCAGCUAUGUUUAAGGGUGUAAUAAUACAAGGGCCUUAUCUCCCAGAACACAGGGACAUCUAGUCUGCCUAAUAAACACUGUUAAUCUUCUAAGAAGCCUGAGAACACCAAAGUUCUACCUUAACUCAAAGAAGACAGAAUUAUGGAGACAGUCAUUUUUUAUUA
Molecule: long non-coding RNA, 220 nt
Organism: Cygnus olor (mute swan)
Lineage: Eukaryota; Metazoa; Chordata; Aves; Anseriformes; Anatidae
Exons: 3
Source: RefSeq, a predicted model, not a curated record